AUUGAACGCUGGCGGCAGGCCUAACACAUGCAAGUCGAGCGGAUGAAGGGAGCUUGCUCCUGGAUUCAGCGGCGGACGGGUGAGUAAUGCCUAGGAAUCUGCCUGGUAGUGGGGGAUAACGUCCGGAAACGGGCGCUAAUACCGCAUACGUCCUGAGGGAGAAAGUGGGGGAUCUUCGGACCUCACGCUAUCAGAUGAGCCUAGGUCGGAUUAGCUAGUUGGUGGGGUAAAGGCCUACCAAGGCGACGAUCCGUAACUGGUCUGAGAGGAUGAUCAGUCACACUGGAACUGGAACACGGUCCAGACUCCUACGGGAGGCAGCAGUGGGGAAUAUUGGACAAUGGGCGAAAGCCUGAUCCAGCCAUGCCGCGUGUGUGAAGAAGGUCUUCGGAUUGUAAAGCACUUUAAGGUGGGAGGAAGGGCAGUAAGUUAAUACCUUGCUGUUUUGACGUUACCAACAGAAUAAGCACCGGCUAACUUCGUG
RNAcentral lists this ribosomal RNA (484 nucleotides) under uncultured bacterium. Its description in RNAcentral is "partial 16S ribosomal RNA". It matches the Rfam family "Bacterial small subunit ribosomal RNA", at positions 30 to 507 of the family's 1533-position model. The record is from RNAcentral.